Molecule: ribosomal RNA, 297 nt
Filed under: Triticum aestivum (bread wheat)
Lineage: Eukaryota; Viridiplantae; Streptophyta; Magnoliopsida; Poales; Poaceae
Description: partial small subunit ribosomal RNA
Source: RNAcentral
AUGGCUUUCCACCUAAGAUCGAUAAGUUUGCCUUCUAGGCCUCACCCCACCGAGACCGAGAUUGAAGAAGAGAUGUUGAGCCUAGAGGCAAGCAUCUCUUCCUCCACGACCAUUGGCACAAUGUGCGAGGGUCCGGGGAGGCUUGGUGACAUCUAUAAUGGCGUUGAAGAGAUCAUCUGCCUUCCAAGCAGCCAAGUCUGUGCCUACCAGCAGAAGAAGUUCUUGCAUGGAGAAAUGGACGGUUCUUUCGAGCUGCUAGAUCUAUGUGGCACCAUGCAAGAGUCUUCGCCGAGAUGA